AAAGGACUGAAGUGAACUGCAGACCCUAAGAUGAUUCACUCCUGCUGGAGCUUGGAAUAUGCGGGCUAUUGGAUGAAACUGAUGUGGGAUACAGGAGGUCAAGCUUCCUGAGAGGAUUUGGAGAUGUUUCUUUCCACUGAAGACAGGAAAGACAGAAGAAAUGAUCAAUCUGCUUAGAGGGCAUGAACUCCAAAUGAAGCCAGAGUUUCAUGAAAUUAUAACAAUAGAAUAAGAUAUGAGUUCAUUCUCCUGGAUUACACAACAUGGAAGAGAAUUUAGAAUAAUGUGAUCAUCUUUGCGGCAGAAGGAAGUGUUCUGGAGGUUGAGAUAUCUGUCUUUCUCUUGUUUCUGCUCCUUCCACUUCCAGAUUUCAGUGUGGAUAUACCUGGAAGGACAAAAAAAAUUCAUUUUCUGAAAGAUAAAAAAUAAAACACUGUAAACUUGAUCUGAUAAACGAUUCUUCGAAAUGUAGAAGGUGUUUCAUAUAAUAGCAUAGCUCUUUGGUAAGUGUGUGUUAAAAGAAGAAACAUUUUCGACAAGAAAGUUUUAUUCAGUGUGCUGUUUCCCUGCUCCCCUGACAGAGUAAGUGACCACCUGAAUGCUAAGGAGCACCAAUUUGGGCUGAUACUCUCCGACAGCUGUAUUUGAAAGAAACAUAUUGUGUAAACCCACGCAUGUUAGUGAGAGAUGAGAAACAAUGACGCUCAGAGCAAUCUGAUGGGGUUCUCUAAUACGCUAUGCUGUUUGUGUCUCUACUUUGAUUAUCCUUAUGUCCCAAUUAUUAGCAGCCAUUAGUGCCCUCCGGAUAAAGCAAAGCAAAGAAAAACAAAACAAAACAAAGAUCUGUCAGUCUGCGACUGACAGAGAGGUCUUUGAGGUUACAGACGAAUUUAUUGGUUCUCUGUUUCUAAAUCUGUCAAAAAGACCUGAACAACUUCCUGAGAGAAAGAGGUUGAGAAACGAGCACCUGGAAGCAUUUCAUAGGUAGGCAGGCAUGAUACUUUUGGAGUUAAUUUCACCGUGAAUUAUAUUGAGCUCUCGGGCUGAGAAAGAAACUCCUCUUGUGAAAGAAAGGGAAAUGCCACAUUUCCAGAAGAGGUUGUAAGAUGCUCUGUCAGAUUCUGUUUGGGAAUGGUAUCAGCAAAGCUAGAAACUAAGCUUCUUUUGGGCCUUGUUGAAUAAUUUGAAUUCUGUCUUGAUUCUUACUUUCUGUUUUAAUUUUCAUACUUAAAGUUUUUAAAAUUUAAAGAAACAAUAAUUUAUUCCUCCUUAUUGGAUGAGAUUUGGUCUCCUUUCACUCCCAAAAUUAGUCUUAUGUGAUUCUCCUUAAUGCAAAAAGGUGCAGGGCUCACAAUUUUUAAUUGAAACAAACGCCCUUACGUGAUCAUAUACAGAAAAUACUGAAUAAAAAGUGCUAGAAGUGUUA
Long non-coding RNA from Octodon degus (degu), 1426 nucleotides. RefSeq lists it as uncharacterized. Lineage: Eukaryota; Metazoa; Chordata; Mammalia; Rodentia; Octodontidae. The record is from RefSeq and is a predicted model, not a curated record. The transcript is spliced from 2 exons.